RNAcentral lists this ribosomal RNA (588 nucleotides) under uncultured bacterium. RNAcentral's name for it is "bacterial SSU rRNA". It matches the Rfam family "Bacterial small subunit ribosomal RNA", at positions 46 to 677 of the family's 1533-position model. The record is from RNAcentral.
GCGUACCAUGCCAGUCGAACGGAUUGUAGCAAUACAGCAGUGGCGCACGGGAUGAGUAACGCGAUGGAUAUCUGCCUUUUGGUUCGGAAUAACUCCGGGAAACUGGAGCUAAUACCGGAUGGUUCCUACGGGAUAAAGAUUUAUCGCCAAAAGAUGAGUCCGCGUACGAUUAGCUAGUUGGUGAGGUAAUGGCUCACCAAGGCGACGAUCGUUAGCUGGUCUGAGAGGACGAUCAGCCACACUGGGACUGAGACACGGCCCAGACUCCUACGGGAGGCAGCAGUGGGGAAUAUUGGACAAUGGGGGCAACCCUGAUCCAGCCAUGCCGCGUGAGUGAUGAAGGCCUUCGGGUUGUAAAGCUCUUUUGGCGGGGACGAUGAUGACGGUACCCGCAGAAUAAGCCCCGGCUAACUUCGUGCCAGCAGCCGCGGUAAGACGAAGGGGGCUAGCGUUGUUCGGAAUUACUGGGCGUAAAGCGAGUGUAGGUGGUUGUCAUAGUCAGGUGUGAAAGCCUUGAGCUCAACUCAAGAAAUGCACUUGAUACUGGGCGACUACAGGACCGGAGAGGAUAGUGGAAUUCCCAGUGUA